GUAAACAUAGUUUACUUAAAACACUAGACUGUGAAUCUAGAAACAAGAGAUAAAACUCUUUGUUUACC
RNAcentral lists this transfer RNA (68 nucleotides) under Neotoma mexicana (Mexican woodrat). RNAcentral's name for it is "tRNA-His". It matches the Rfam family "tRNA". From Rfam's summary of the family: Transfer RNA (tRNA) molecules are approximately 80 nucleotides in length. Their secondary structure includes four short double-helical elements and three loops (D, anti-codon, and T loops). Further hydrogen bonds mediate the characteristic L-shaped molecular structure. tRNAs have two regions of fundamental functional importance: the anti-codon, which is responsible for specific mRNA codon recognition, and the 3' end, to which the tRNAs corresponding amino acid is attached (by aminoacyl-tRNA synthetases). tRNAs cope with the degeneracy of the genetic code in two manners: having more than one tRNA (with a specific anti-codon) for a particular amino acid; and 'wobble' base-pairing, i.e. permitting non-standard base-pairing at the 3rd anti-codon position. Lineage: Eukaryota; Metazoa; Chordata; Mammalia; Rodentia; Cricetidae. The record is from RNAcentral.